This is a long non-coding RNA of Canis lupus familiaris (dog), 505 nucleotides long. RefSeq lists it as uncharacterized. The record is from RefSeq and is a predicted model, not a curated record. Lineage: Eukaryota; Metazoa; Chordata; Mammalia; Carnivora; Canidae. The transcript has 3 exons.
CACAUCUCAGUUUCUGGUCACCCUGAGAUCAUCGAACAACAAGUGAUCUCUACUCCCAACGUAGGGCUCGCACUCACGGCCUGGAGGUCAAGAGUCGUGCUCUCUACUGACCGAGCGGGCCAGGGGCCCCUGGAAUCGCAUCCUAAGACUCGGAUAGGAUCAGACAGCCUGGAGACACUCAGAUCCACUUCUCGGGAGCCACCCGAGCCCCUCAGAAACCGUGAGCCUGAUACCUUCCUUCCAGAGGUCGCCGCGGCCUCACUGGGCGAGUCAAGAGUGCCACCUCCUGGCGGAUGAAACCGAGAGUCAGCUGCUUAACCCCAGCGAGCCUCCCAGGUUGCCCCUACGAGGGCUGACGACAGUGACCACGUCUGUCUACCUGGCGAGGCAGAAACAAUUCCAGGUUGCUGAACCCUGGUUUUCCACACUGCGGACGACAGGAUAUCACCCCCUCCCCCUCUUUCAACCUGACCCAGGAAUUCCCUUACUCUGAGCCAAGGACAGG